RNAcentral lists this ribosomal RNA (482 nucleotides) under uncultured bacterium. Its description in RNAcentral is "bacterial SSU rRNA". It matches the Rfam family "Bacterial small subunit ribosomal RNA", at positions 30 to 507 of the family's 1533-position model. The record is from RNAcentral.
AUUGAACGCUGGCGGCAUGCCUUACACAUGCAAGUCGAACGGUAACAGGUCUUCGGAUGCUGACGAGUGGCGAACGGGUGAGUAAUACAUCGGAACGUGCCCGAUCGUGGGGGAUAACGGAGCGAAAGCUUUGCUAAUACCGCAUACGAUCUACGGAUGAAAGCAGGGGACCGCAAGGCCUCGCGCGAUUGGAGCGGCCGAUAUCAGAUUAGCUAGUUGGUGGGGUAAAAGCUCACCAAGGCGACGAUCUGUAGCUGGUCUGAGAGGACGACCAGCCACACUGGAACUGAGACACGGUCCAGACUCCUACGGGAGGCAGCAGUGGGGAAUUUUGGACAAUGGGCGCAAGCCUGAUCCAGCAAUGCUGCGUGCAGGAUGAAGGCCUUCGGGUUGUAAACUGCUUUUGUACGGAACGAAACGGUGAGCUCUAAUAAAGCUUGCUAAUGACGGUACCGUAAGAAUAAGCACCGGCUAACUACGUG